This is an RNA transcript of Zea mays, 4477 nucleotides long. It is a transcript of the gene named proline-rich protein 36, with no coding region annotated. The record is from RefSeq and is a predicted model, not a curated record. Lineage: Eukaryota; Viridiplantae; Streptophyta; Magnoliopsida; Poales; Poaceae. The transcript is spliced from 5 exons.
UAAAAAUGGAGAUGCUUUAUUAUCGUCCGCUUUCCAACCAAACACAUCGUAAAACAAUUCUUAUUAAAACAAGCUAAACCUGAGAGCCGAGAAAAAGCCAAAACAAUUACCCCUAACUAGUGAAACGGUAAUCUCUCAGCUUCUCGUUGCGCAACCUCCCCGGUUUCCCAGUCCCGCUCACCGCCGCCAUCGCCGGCGCCCAUGGCGGCCUCACCAGGGGCAGACGAACCGCUGGAGAGCUCAACAGUGGAGCAUCCUGAGGCGGUCCAGCCGCCUUCACUGCCGAUUGUUGAGGCGGAACCGCCUCCGCCUCUUAUAGGGGCGGCGGCUGCACAUGAAGCGAUCUCUCCGAAGAAGUCCUCUUCCCCUUCGCCGCAUCCGGCGAACUUGGCGGUCGAAGUUUCUCCAGAGGUGGAGGCCUCUUCCUCGUCUCCGUCCCCGUCGUCUUCUCCCUCUCCAUAUCCCCAAAUCAUGGAGGUGUUGCCGGGUGCGCCGCAACCACUGUCUCCUCCACGUGCUUCUCCGUCUGUUGCGGCGCGUGCUUCGACGGACCUCUCCAUUACAGAGGCGAUGUCAAUGGCGUCCCAGGAAGCAGCUCGCCCACCCCCGUCCCCCGAGUCUACGGACGCGCACUUGCACACCGCGUCCGCGCUGCCGACGUCGCUGAUGGAGAUUGGGCCUGGAGUGUUGGUGCCACAGCAGCAGCCGCGACCACCAUCUCCGGAAAUGGCCCCUCCACUAUGUGAUUAUUCAGAGUCCGCACAGCCAUCGCCGCUGUGUCAUCCGGAUGGAUGCACAGGCGCCUCGCCAGACGCACCGAUGGACGAGGUAAUGACAGGAACGUCAGGAAAAGCAGCUGGGCCGUCGCCAGGUGAAAACUCGGAGUUAGCACAGUCACAGCUGCCGCAUCUUCCAGCUGAAAACACAUAUGUCUGUUCAAAUGCAGCGGGCAAGAUAUCAGCAGUGACUUCAGAAGAAGGUACUCAGCCUGCGAUGGCGUCAAUUGAUGGUGAGGGGCCAUUAGAGAUUGGGGCGCAGAGAUCAUUGCAGGAGCUAGAGGAGACAACAACAUCCUUCAAGAUGGAAGCUGAGCCUUGUUCGCCGGAGAUGGCUCCUCCAGGGUUUGAAGAUUGUAAGUCUCAAUGGUUGCCACUGUCACAUCCUAAUCCUCUGGUUGAAUCCACACACACUGUGGUACAAGUGACUACUACCAAUGCCAUGGGAACGACUCCAGAUGCAGCAACUGGGUCACUGUCUUCACCUCGCCUACUUCCACUGUUGAAGAGAGAUACAGAGGGGCAAACACUUCCAAGAUCAUGCUCUCCAACAACAGAAGCUGCACCAUGUUCACCAGAUAUGCCACCUCCAGGCUUUGAGAAUUGUAAGUCAUCGUGGCUACCACUACCAACUCUUCAACCCAUAGCUGAAACCACGCAUGUGUUGCACGACGUGGCUCCCACCAAGUCAAUGGUAGUGGGACUUAUGGAAAAGGCAUGCUCAGUGCUGGCAUUGGAGCGGACAGAUGUGAAGAUAGACUCGGAGCAGAGCCUAUUGCCGCCAUUGGAGAGUGAAACUGAGAGUUCAUUGCAAGGGCCACUGCCAAGGUCACCUUCUUCCAUGAUGAAAGCCAUUCCCUGUUCACCAGAUACUGCACCUCCAGGGUUUGAAAAUUUAAAGUUCACACAGUUACAGCCUCCCUGUCCACCUCUGGUGCAGACUGCACAUGUUUUGCAAAAUUCAGCCAAUAAUGAGGCCAUGCCUGUGAUAUCAAAGGAAGCUCCUCAGCCAUUGCCUGCAUUGGAUGCAACGGAUUUAGACAUUGAUGCCAAACCUGUCCUGGCACCACCAUCAGAGAGUAAACCAGGGCAAUUGUCACCGGAACCUCCCCUUCUGCUACCUCAUGUAGCACAGCAUACAACGUGUUCGCCAGGGAUGACACUUUUAGGGUCUGAGAAUAUCGAGUCCUCGCAGCUGCUGCCACGAGCUCUGGUUCUUCCUCUUGAUCAGACUUCAGACAUCUUGGCUGAUGCAGGGACCAAGAAGACAGUCACAAUGGAAGAAGUGUGUCAUCCGCUGCCUGUAGCAGGAGUGGCGGAAGAAGCCAAUAGGUCUGUUCUUCUACCAGUAACGGAAAAUGGCUGUGAGGGCCAAUCACCACACCUAGAGCUACAGACUUCUUCCCCUGCAGUGAAUGCUGCAGCUACAUCACUGGAGAUAGCUCCCGGAAGUUUUGAGAAUUCAGAGUCCUCUCAGUUGAUCUCUCCUUGUCUAGCUCAGACAAUAGACCCCACUACUCAUGCAUCAGGUAUUAUGCCUACUAUUGUUAAGUCAGAGAAAACGAAUCUGCCACUAUCUUCAUUACAGGCUACAUGCACAGACAUGGAAAGUGCAAUCCUGUGUCAGUCGCCAUCGAAGAGUGAAGAGAGAUCACUGCCACAGGCAGAGCAACACCCGUCUUCUCCAUCUGUUAAGGACACUACUUGUUCACCAGAGGUUGCACCCCCAGGUUAUGAAAAUUUUGACUCUUUGGAUCAGCUGCCACCAUCACCACCUCUUUGCUCAAAAUUUGUCUGCUGCGUGAAGAUAAGAUGUGAAAGUUCGGAUGCAUAAAUUUCAAGCCUUUUGUCAAGGGCGUCAGUGCCCAGGACAGCAGGGCCCUGACUACGCAGCUCAUAGUCGCGACGGGUAAGGGUGCCGGGGUUUUUGCCCGGUAACCCGAUGGUGAAGGGGACGAGAUUGGAGAGGAGAAGUAGAAAGAAUGAGAUAAGUAAUUCUUGCUUGCUUUAUUGAAUCCGCCGCCCGCCAUAUAGCCAGCCCCCCCUAACAAACUCCUCCUGUUUAUCCUCUAAUACUUAUCUCCCUAACAAACUCCUCCUAUUUAUCCUCUAAUACUUAUCUCCCUAGCCAACUCCUGCUACUUAUCCUCUUAUCUAAACAAAUCUCCCACUUUCUAGUCACGCCUAACUGCCUGCUACUCCUGCGCCGGCGUGAUCCCGCGUGGCCUACGCUGGUAGUGGUGGCCCCACAUGUCACCUUUAGAUACUGUGAAAGAUUAAUGGAGAAAUUGGUAACUGACUGAUUACUUCUCUUUAGGCUGGUUUAGGAGCAAACUGGUGAGCAGUACUGGUAUCUGCUAGGCCCUUGACUAGGAUGCUGCAUAUCCUUUUGGGGAUUCCAUAAAUAGAUCUUAUUAAGUUGCAGUAAGUUUGAGUUUUGUGGAAUAUGCAAUAUGUUAAUGCUGAUUAAGGCAAUGUAAAAAAGGUAGGAUGUGGAUUUUUAUUUUCCAAUACAAUGGUUCAGGACAUUUAAUCCUUAUUUGUUAACAUUCCUCUCUUUAUCUUAGUACAAAAGGGUGGUACUGAUGAAAUUCGGAAAAGGUGGUGUUAGAGCUGAGGAAGUUGUGCUGUUUCAUUGCAGUAGAAAAAAAUCUUUAUGGACAAUAAAUAGAAGAUGAAAUCUGUAUGGGCGGUAUUGUAAUCGAGAUCUUACCUUAAGAAAUUGGUCAAAUGGUAUGCGGAUCUUGUCGUCAGCUUGUUGCAUAUCCUACGGGUGCUGUUCAUGUUCAGUGUUUUGGUUGCUUGACAAUAAAUCUUGUACUGGAAGAACAUCAAGUUGGUAAGGUAUAUUGUGGACAAUGUGAUACACUCUUGAUGUAUCCUUUUGGGGCUCCUGCUGUGAAAUGUUCCAACUGUCUUUUUGUCACUGAAAUCGGAGAACGCAAUGUUCGGCCACGGAUAUUGAUGGAACAGAGUGUCUCACCUGCGGCACAAGAGGAGGUUCACUAGAGAGCUAGGUCAGGCUUUAACAACGGCUGGUAGUGGAACCUAGAUGAUAUCGCUCGUAGUAACUCCAGACGCUGCCAUGGAAAACUCGCAAGUCAUCCGGCAUGAUCCUGUAGCUGUAACCUCAAAUGGCCUGUGGUCUGUGGAAGUGUGGAGUGGCACCUUCAGAUGCAGCCUGUAGUUUAGGGAUGAAAAAGGCGGAUGCAGUAUGGCCAGGAUCAACUGCUAAGCGAAAAGAUUAUAUCCAGCCGUAGCCUUAUCAUAGGGAAGAUAAACUGCUUAAGCUCGGCUGUAACUGGAGCAGGUUAAUCAUGGUUGACGGUACGGUGGUCUCAGAUGAUCCUCAAGUUAAGUAUUUGUUGGGGACGAGCAGAGUGCUUCAGUGCUUGGGUUUGUCUACGAACCAUGGAACAACCCACUUGUAUCUUUAGCGUCACAGCACAAUCACAAGCGCUGUUGUGGCCCUUCGAGGGCAACAGGAGGUAAAAAAGUACUUUAUGAAGGUAGGAAUAUUUGGUAGCAUCUCCUCUCUUUUUUUGACAAAAGGGAAAUUCAUUCAUUUGUCAUGAGCACAACAAACUCCAUUCUAAGUUUUGAAGCCAAUUGGAUGUUACAACGUUGAGAUUGUGCUAAAGCUUGACAAGAAUAAAGACAAUCUCCUGUAAUUGAUGCCCUGCCUUGCCUGUUUUGUUAAA